This 724-nucleotide ribosomal RNA is filed under the name Pseudomonas sp. Wr1A06. Its description in RNAcentral is "bacterial SSU rRNA". It matches the Rfam family "Bacterial small subunit ribosomal RNA", at positions 28 to 750 of the family's 1533-position model. Lineage: Bacteria; Pseudomonadati; Pseudomonadota; Gammaproteobacteria; Pseudomonadales; Pseudomonadaceae. The record is from RNAcentral.
AUUAACGCUGCUGGAGGCCUAAACAUGCAAGUCGAGCGGUAGAGAGAAGCUUGCUUCUCUUGAGAGCGGCGGACGGGUGAGUAAUGCCUAGGAAUCUGCCUGGUAGUGGGGGAUAACGUUCGGAAACGGACGCUAAUACCGCAUACGUCCUACGGGAGAAAGCAGGGGACCUUCGGGCCUUGCGCUAUCAGAUGAGCCUAGGUCGGAUUAGCUAGUUGGUGAGGUAAUGGCUCACCAAGGCGACGAUCCGUAACUGGUCUGAGAGGAUGAUCAGUCACACUGGAACUGAGACACGGUCCAGACUCCUACGGGAGGCAGCAGUGGGGAAUAUUGGACAAUGGGCGAAAGCCUGAUCCAGCCAUGCCGCGUGUGUGAAGAAGGUCUUCGGAUUGUAAAGCACUUUAAGUUGGGAGGAAGGGUUGUAGAUUAAUACUCUGCAAUUUUGACGUUCCCGACAGAAUAAGCACCGGCUAACUCUGUGCCAGCAGCCGCGGUAAUACAGAGGGUGCAAGCGUUCAUCGGAAUUACUGGGCGUAAAGCGCGCGUAGGUGGUUUGUUAAGUUGGAUGUGAAAUCCCCGGGCUCAACCUGGGAACUGCAUUCAAAACUGACUGACUAGAGUAUGGUAGAGGGUGGUGGAAUUUCCUGUGUAGCGGUGAAAUGCGUAGAUAUAGGAAGGAACACCAGUGGCGAAGGCGACCACCUGGACUAAUACUGACACUGAG